Molecule: ribosomal RNA, 253 nt
Filed under: uncultured bacterium
Lineage: Bacteria
Description: partial 16S ribosomal RNA
Rfam family: Bacterial small subunit ribosomal RNA
Source: RNAcentral
UACGGGGGGGGCAAGCGUUGUUCGGAAUUAUUGGGCGUAAAGGGUGCGUAGGCAGCGGAGUAAGUUGGGUGUGAAAUCCCGGGGCUCAACCUCGGAAUGGCAUUCAAUACUGCUUCGCUAGAGUACUGGAGAGGAGGCUGGAAUUUACGGUGUAGCAGUGAAAUGCGUAGAUAUCGUAAGGAAGGCCGGUGGCGAAAGCGAGCCUCUGGACAGUUACUGACGCUGAUGCACGAAGGCCAGGGGAGCAAACGGG